Triticum dicoccoides is the source of this 1424-nucleotide long non-coding RNA. RefSeq lists it as uncharacterized. The record is from RefSeq and is a predicted model, not a curated record. NCBI's taxonomy places the organism in Eukaryota, Viridiplantae, Streptophyta, Magnoliopsida, Poales, Poaceae. The transcript is spliced from 2 exons.
CCCGAACAUGAACCAGUAUGCAAACGAACCGCACAGCAACCCAAAAAGAACAAAAAUACCCCGUGAGGCUGUGACCCUCCCAUAGUCCCAUCCACCGUGCCAUCUUCCCCCGCCCCAUCCCUUCUUCCCCGCAGGCGCCAUGGCCGCCCCUCCACCUGCCUCCAAUCCUCCGACCACCUUCUUCCAUGCCCCUCCCCUCCCCCUACCACCUUCUUCUGUGGCGGUGGCCCAACGGGUUUGACCUUCCCCGGCCAUGGAACCACCUCUCACCGUUGCGCCACCGCCCCACUCUGCCGCCUGAGUGCCUCCAGGAACCCCUACUGCCGCCUUCCCCUGCGAGACCGCUGCACCCUCGAGCUCCAGCCGAUCCAGAGAACUGCGCCGUCGGCUACCACUGACUCCUACUCCGGCGACCCUGACGGAGAUGUCCUCAGCCCGCUACUUCCUAGAGCACCGACGCGCCCACCAUCUGCGUCUCCAUGGAUCCAGCGGAAUCUGGGCCACUUGAUCUGGGCUCCCUUGCCGGCGAGCCCCGACAAGCUACAUCCCCGACCCCGACCCAGGUCAGGAGCAAAGGGGUUCCCUCUCCUCGCCCCUAGGCUCCUCUGAGCGGCGAUUGGAUCCACUGCCUCCCCUAGCGCACACACUUCCUACCUCGGGGGUGGAUCCUGACGGGAUCCAGGCCGGUGCCACAUCCCCCCACCGGUGAGCCGGCCCUCUGCCCACCUGAAAUUCCAGAUCGGGCCUCCCCCAAGGAGUUGCUGCGGGAUCCACACCGGUGCCACAUCCCCCCGCCGGUGAGCCGACCCUCUGCCCACCUCCGCCGCUAGAGCAGCACGACCGUGCUCGUGCAGUGCAUCGUGACUUCGCGUGCAGUACAGUGGGUGUGUGCCCCCUCGAUUUCUCCUCCUCGACUCCACUCCACCAUGCAAUUCGGCGGGGUACACCAUGCAGCUCGGGCAACACGCGCAUGCGGUUCGGUUGUGCAUGGGAAUGCAGCACAUCGCAUAGGUGGUCAGAGGGGAGGAUGGUUUUGCGUUCAUUUUUUGUUUCUGCGAUUGAGAUCUUCAGUGCACGACAAGCGACAGGUCCGGCAGCACUCUCGUCCUGCGAUGCCGGGGUGCAGUAUGCCUGUGUCCCUCAUGUGGUGCGGUGCAUCGCCAACGUGCAGUUCGCCUUGGUCCUUCGAGGUGGUGCCAUCGCCGGCGUUCAGUUUGGGACUUUUUUUCUUCAGAUUUUGCUUGUGUACAACACUGCAGUACACGUGAGUCAUCGGUGCGGUGCAGGCGUGCGGCUAGGCGUUCUGUUGCAGUUCUUUAUAGUUGAUUUUCCAGAGUUACAAAGACUUUUUGAGAAAAAAAAUGAAAAUCUGUGGACGCUACAGUUCAAUCCGUCUCUAUAUUAUCGAGAGGUUUUAGCGCAUU